GACGAACGCUGGCGGCGUGCUUAACACAUGCAAGUCGAACGGAAAUGCCCUGCUUCUGUGGGGUGCUCGAGUGGCGUACGAGUGAGUAACACGUGAGUAACCUGCACUGGACUUUGGGAUAACUUAAGGAAACUGGGGCUAAUACCGGAUAGGAGCUCCUGCUGCAUGGUGUGGGUUGGAAAUUUUCGGCGGAUGGUGAUGGACUCGCGGCUUAUCAGCGUGUUGGUGGGGUAGUGGCUUACCAAGGCUUUGACGGGUAGCCGGCCUGAUAGGGUGACCGGCCAAAUUGGGAAUGAGGUACGGCCCAGAAUCCUACGGGAGGCAGGAGUGGGGAAUUUUGCACAAUGGGCGGAAGCCUGAUGCAGCAACGCCGGGUGCGGGGUAACGGCCUAAGGGCUGUAGUACGCUUUCGCCUGUGACGAAGCGUGAGUGACAGUAAUGGAUAAAGAAGCACCGGCUAACUACGUG
This 468-nucleotide ribosomal RNA is filed under the name uncultured bacterium. RNAcentral's name for it is "partial 16S ribosomal RNA". It matches the Rfam family "Bacterial small subunit ribosomal RNA", at positions 28 to 507 of the family's 1533-position model. The record is from RNAcentral.